RNAcentral lists this unclassified non-coding RNA (275 nucleotides) under Hevea brasiliensis (rubber tree). Lineage: Eukaryota; Viridiplantae; Streptophyta; Magnoliopsida; Malpighiales; Euphorbiaceae. The record is from RNAcentral.
UAGAGGACAAGAAUGACCGAUCUGUGACCGGUCUGACACUGGUCGCGUCAGCAACGGGCAGCCACGAUCCCACGUUGCGCCUGUCUCCGCCGGGAGUGGAGGUAGGUGUGGGCUGUCCCAUCGGAGUGUCAUUCGGACAGCAACCAUACCAAUCUCCGUCCAUAAAGAGAAGAAAAGUCCAGUUUGGAAAGGGAAGGGUGCAUGUGGUAUCCCCUUGAAGUAUAAAAGGAGGACCUUGCCCAUAGAGAAGGGGUUGGUUGAUUCUUUUCCAGAUU